Molecule: ribosomal RNA, 253 nt
Filed under: uncultured bacterium
Lineage: Bacteria
Description: partial 16S ribosomal RNA
Rfam family: Bacterial small subunit ribosomal RNA
Source: RNAcentral
UACGUAGGGUGCGAGCGUUGUCCGGAAUUAUUGGGCGUAAAGAGCUUGUAGGCGGUUUGUCGCGUCUGCCGUGAAAAUCCGGGGCUCAACCCCGGACUUGCAGUGGAUACGGGCAGACUAGAGGUAGGUAGGGGAGAAUGGAAUUCCCGGUGUAGCGGUGAAAUGCGCAGAUAUCGGGAGGAACACCGGUGGCGAAGGCGGUUCUCUGGGCCUUACCUGACGCUGAGGAGCGAAAGCGUGGGGAGCGAACAGG